Molecule: long non-coding RNA, 1299 nt
Organism: Cyanistes caeruleus (blue tit)
Lineage: Eukaryota; Metazoa; Chordata; Aves; Passeriformes; Paridae
Source: Ensembl
CGCCCACGAGGUUUUAUCCCAGCCCCCACGCCAGUGAAUGGCCAGGCCACUGCUCGCAGGAUCAGCCCCACUUCCUCGUGUCGGCCAGCCCCUCUCUGAAGCCGCUGCCCCAGAAGGCGCCGGUGCCGCUGUGCCUGAGCACAGGCCACAGAGGAAGCCGGCGGGAGAGGUUUGUGGCAAAUGGAGCGACAGCGAGGCUUGCCACAGGGCCACUGCAGCACCCCAGUGAGGAGAGCGAUUGCCCUCACGCUGUUAAAAUGCAAUUUGCCGAAAGGAAACCGCUGCGGCCGCACGCACCCAACUGCAGCGCCCAAGCAGCGCCGGAAUCGCCGCCACCACAAGAAAGCAGGCAGCCCCCAUUAGCAGGGAAAUCAAUCUUUUACAAGAGCCACAAUGGACCAUUAGCUUUUAACCAGGUUUUAGGGGUGGGGAACAGCCUUCCUGUUGGGCAAACCCUAAGAAGGAAAUAACCGGCUCCAAACAUCCAGGGGCGGUGGGGAGUUGAGAGCCGAGGUAGAGCUCUGAACUCCGCAGCUUGAGCUCGCUGCUACAAUGCAGCCAGCUCCUGCGCGUGGAUGAGCCGGUGGCGGAGCUGCAGGGAGCUGCCCUUAUUUAUUUGUUCCUACGGCACAGGCAGAGACAAGGGCCCUGUUUUAUGUUUCCCUGCAGGAAGGUGAUAAAGUGCCCGGGAGCUGCUGGAAACCAUUCUCCAAUAAAUUCAAAGGGGAAAGUCAUUUUUUUGUGCCUUGGAAGCUUGUGAGAGCUGAGGGAUGCUGGAAGGCAGUGAAAACUGAGGCAGCACAUCACACACUAGUGUGGCAGGAAGCCACCGGAGCAAAUUUUCUGGGCUGUCAUUCAGAAGCUCAUCACAGAGCAGUGAAUACAUUCCUUGUGGGAGCUCAGCAUCAGAAGAAGUUGCAAGCCCCUUCUCAGGAGGAAAGACGAGCACAAGCUGAAACACCCAAGCUGCAAUCAGUGGCAGAACACAACUCCAGGAAGGAUCAUGCCUCAUCAGCGGGUGUUGGCUUUCUAAGGCACCUCAAGUACCCUGCCAGGGUAAUUAGUAGUGAUCUGAAUCAGACAUCACUAUGUACAUGUCUGUCUACAAUGGUGACAUGUUUCCUCAUACAUCUGCAGCCAACAGCAUUUUUGAGGUGGAUACACUCCCUAGCCCGCAGUAAUCCCCUGCCUUGUGCUUGUUGUCACUCUGCACAGGAGUGUUUGUCCCAGAUAGAUCCUUGCAUUGUCUCCAUGUUGCUCUGGGAUUCCAGGCUAGCUGGGAGCAUCAAUGAAAACUGA